RNAcentral lists this ribosomal RNA (423 nucleotides) under Agrobacterium tumefaciens. RNAcentral describes it as "bacterial SSU rRNA". It matches the Rfam family "Bacterial small subunit ribosomal RNA", at positions 458 to 880 of the family's 1533-position model. The record is from RNAcentral. Lineage: Bacteria; Pseudomonadati; Pseudomonadota; Alphaproteobacteria; Hyphomicrobiales; Rhizobiaceae.
CCUAGGGAUAGUGGACGUUACUCGCAGAAUAAGCACCGGCUAACUCUGUGCCAGCAGCCGCGGUAAUACAGAGGGUGCGAGCGUUAAUCGGAUUUACUGGGCGUAAAGCGUGCGUAGGCGGCUUAUUAAGUCGGAUGUGAAAUCCCCGAGCUUAACUUGGGAAUUGCAUUCGAUACUGGUGAGCUAGAGUAUGGGAGAGGAUGGUAGAAUUCCAGGUGUAGCGGUGAAAUGCGUAGAGAUCUGGAGGAAUACCGAUGGCGAAGGCAGCCAUCUGGCCUAAUACUGACGCUGAGGUACGAAAGCAUGGGGAGCAAACAGGAUUAGAUACCCUGGUAGUCCACGCCGUAAACGAUGUCAACUAGCCGUUCGGGCCUUCGAGGCUUUAGUGGCGCAGCUAACGCGAUAAGUAGACCACCUGGGGAG